AUAGAUAUAUAGUUGUAAUAGUACCAACAUUUGUUUCAUAGUUAUUAGAUUGUGUUUUUUCGUCUAGUUAGGUUUAAAGAUUACACACUCGUUUACUGUAUUGUUAGAGCGGUGAUUGUGUGCUUAGUUAUUAGCUUUUGUUUCUAUUCAAGAGCGUAGGGUUCAAUUUGAGUAGACUGAAAGGCUCUGCUAUUGUCUACUGGAAGGCUCUGCUACUGUUGCCGAUUAUUAGGAAGCUGCUACUGUUACUGUUGAUGCUACUGCUUAUUAAAACGUAUUUCUACUGGCUGCUACUGUUAACCACAGAGCUGCUACUGCCGACUGAGAUCCAAAUCUACUUUCCUCCCUUACCUUUCUUAGUAUACUUCAACAGUGGAAUAACACCACCAAAGCACCUCCAGUAGCAAUAACUUCAUUCCUCCACACAUUAAUUAACCAUACAAUCAUAGCACCCAAAUGAAUUCAAUUAUCAACAAUUAUAAAACCAAACUGAAAAUGAACAUCCACCUGUAGAUCUAUCCCUGCAAUCAUCGACAUCCACAACCUCCAGAACAUCGUCGUAACUAAGAUCUACAAGCACGCCUAUGUCACCCAAUGCUCGAUCGAGCAUGGAUAACUCGAAGCAUUCGAGAGCGACAAUUCAUGGCCUUUGAAGUGGUUGAUCUCCUUGAGAAAAUGCGAUCCGCCGCACCAGAUCGGUGAAGCAUCAACGACAUCGUUGAUGAGUUGCAGAAGCUCUGAUUUGC
Molecule: RNA transcript, 746 nt
Organism: Fragaria vesca subsp. vesca
Lineage: Eukaryota; Viridiplantae; Streptophyta; Magnoliopsida; Rosales; Rosaceae
Exons: 2
Source: RefSeq, a predicted model, not a curated record